GUUGCAUAUUAUUACCCACAUCGCCGGAAUUAUAACGGUAUUAAUCGCAAUGUACGUAGAAUUUUGUGAAAUAGUGCCACAUAAAUCAGCGAGUCUUGUAAUUUUGUCUAGUCGAUUUGCCGCGCCGUCGACGUCGCUUGGCAUCGUCUUAUCUUAGUUGAUUGUUCAGUACUCAGUCGGUAAGUUACUAGCGACCGGUGUCAACGUUCGCAGUUGGCAACAAUAAAUCGUUUUCAUUACCUAAUAAAAUAAUUAAAUCAAGCGGUAAUGAAUAACACCGCGAUAAAAGUACAAUCGAAAAGAAGACUAACAUAAUUCGCGCGUGGGUGGGCCACUGUUGUAGGUGAGAAGUUGGGUAUAACCAUAGCUAACUGCACAUGUCAUAUUAUGGUAAAAUAAUUACGCAUGCAUUACAUAUAUUUUAUUUAAUAAUAAUAUUUGUUUAAUAUUGUACCUAUUUUCCUCACGUUUUUCCUCCGUUCUUUUCCAGUUCUUCUCAUUUAUUGGGAAUAUCAAAUAAUGACUUCCCUAAAGUCAGAUUUUUUUUAAGAAAAGAUGCUAUUCUUUGAUACUUCGGAGUUUGGAGCAAGAUUUCUGGUGGAAUUUUUGUACACAGUAUAAAAAAAUAAACAACUGUAAAACCAAUAUGCAGUCCUCGCUCCACUCAGAAUCUAAAAGACAUAACUGUACAUCAGAACCAAACAAACGUAAGUCCAAAAAUUAUUAUUGAUUAGAUUAUUACAUUAUUCGCAUGUAAUAUAAUAUGUUUUCCAUCGAGCCAUAAUAAUGGAAGUCUAUUAAAAAUACUCCUUCCAUAAUUUUACCAGGGUUAUACAUAAGUCCUGAUAUAUGGCAAGAAAUAACGUGCCCUCCUUUUUUUUGCUAAAAAAUAAUGUUACUUACGUUCACCUGGUUUUGAGGUACAGUACAUUUUUCUGUUCUUCCCGUGUAUUUUUCGGUUUUGCCUAGUUAUUAAAAAAACCAUACAGAAAAUCAAAAAUCGACUUUCUUACUAAAAAAAAAAACGGAUUAAAAUCUCUUGUUGUUUUUCAAUUGAAACAGUAAUUUUGGUGGAAAACAUCGUGAAUAAAAAUUAAAAACAAUGAACACGGUACGCCGUAAAUAUUUACCGUUUUAUCUAUAAUUUUCUUUCCCGUUUUUCCUGAUUAUUUUGAAAAACCCCAUAGAAAAUGAAAAAUUACCUGCUCAAUGCAUUAACUAGAGAAAAUUAACUUUCAGAAAAGAUUCUACAGUUACCCUGGAGCAAAAGUUCUUAAAAAAAGUUGUUCACAAACAGUAAAAGGAAUACACACAUCAUAGUAAAACAAAUACUCUCCAAAUCCAAAAUGACAUACUUUUACGCUUUACUUGUAGACUAACAAAAUAUCGAAUAUUUAAGUGUGACCGUAGCACAAAUUAUGGAUCUAAUAAAUCCAUAUAAAAAAAAACCUUAAAAAUUACAAACGGCAUAAAAUACUUAAAACAAAAAAGAACCAAAAUGUGAAUGCAAAAAAAAAUAUAGUGUAAAUUGCAAAUGUCUACGGUUAUUUCCUACUGAAUUUUAUACACCAAAAAUAUAAAAUCGAUUUUGUCGAAACCAGUGGAGUUGUGAUGUUUAUACAAUUAUACCUAAAUAUUCCAGUUUUCCGACGUUUUUUUACUUUGAUUUUUCCUUCUUAUUAAGAAAAGUACAAGAGAUUAAAAAAAUGAAUAAUAAAAAUAUAACUUCCCCGAUGCAUCAACUAUAAAUCUGACACGUGGUACAAAAAAAGAGACUCCUGUUAAAAUUUUCGAUUAGAGUCAGUCUAAUAUGGUCGAAAACUUUUUCACAAAAUGAAAAACACAUAUUUCAGUAAAAUAUAAAAUAACCAUGCUUAGAAUUAACAAAAUUGAAGUCCCGAAUAUUUUUCGGCUCAUCCUUCUGAAAAAAAUUACUGAUUAUCUGAUUACUUUACUAGAUUACUUUAAUAUGCAGAAUAUAUUAUGCUCUGCACGUGAACACUAACACCGAACACUUACCUAUAUUAGACGUGAUCACCGCGCCUCUUUUUAAGGCGGGAGAGUGGUCUGACAACUUAAAUAUUAGAUGGGUGUGUGGGAGGAGGGUAGGUAUGUGCUAUUUGUUUAUUUUGCCGCACCGGACAAAAAAAAAAAAAACAAAACAAAUAUUUCGGCGCCAUUACCCUGCACGUUACGGUCAUCGCAUACCGACAAAGUACGAAAUUACUCCCCCGCGAGUCGUGAUGAUGUUGACUACUGCAACAUCGAGUGUUGAACUACUAUCCCUUAGGGUCAACUGUUAUGGGUAAAACUAUAUUUUUUUUUUGUGUUAAAUGACGCGGGGUAUCCCACUGGAAUUGAAUUGGAAAUUCUGCAGACCAGCACGGAAAAACUUUUUUUUUGAUACCUGUGUAGCGACCCACUAGUCAUUUUAUGAUUUUUUUUUUUCGAAUAUUUUUAUAAUAUUAUUUAAGUUACCUUGCUGAGGCGCGGUAACUUUCAGCUCAAUAGUUAAUUUUCAUACGAUCAAAGUUUCAGUUGAGAAUAAUAUUAUGGUCGAAGUAUAGCAUAUAGUAUAAAUGUUUGUAAAACCAGUGGGACUACGGCAUAGAUUUUUUUUUUAAACCUGGGCCUCAACCGAACCGUUCAAAAUUAUUAGUUGUGGAUGGUCGUGGGCUUGGAGGUGGUGCAAGCUGUGUACUCACACAGACCCCCGCGUUGCAUUACAAUCAUAGCAGAUAUUAGUUUCACAUAAUUAGUACAUUUAGUUAAAUAUAAAUCAAAUGUAAUGGACAAAAAACAAUAUUAAAGAUUUGCCUAAAAGACAGGGUCGGACUGGCUCUAAAAGGCCUACUGUACACUUUUAUUUAAAAGGCCUUCAAAAAAUCUCAAUCGCCAGAGCCAUGUGGCAUUCAGGGGACAACAUUCAAGUUAUGCAUCCUUGUAAAUAGGUAACUCGAGUUAGAGAUAUCCUGACGCAUGUAAGUAACAGUUCCGCGUAAUAUUGUUAUGAAUUAUGUCAAAAGCUAUGGAUUUUAUCCAUCUAUGGUCCCGCGGCUAUGCACUUGUGCUUUGUCUAGGCCAUGAGUUUCCUGUCGAAGGACUACAUCUAUUUUAAGUUCACGUAAUAAUCGAACUGAAUAGCUACUUUUAUCUCUGCUUAAGCCUUCAACGUUGUGUUGGAAAAUAAUUAGCCGAGGUCCAAUAUCUUGGAUUGAGAAGCCCUUAAAAUGGAUGUUUUCAAAAUCUGUGUUACUCAUAGUUGCUGUGAAAUCGGAGAGACCAGUAUAGCAGUCGAUGCUAGUAAAUCUUUAACCGUAUAUAAGACGUUGCCCGGGGUACACUAUGUGAAAGCGAUUUACCUUUGUAUCCCAUUUAGCCUUUGCAUGGCCUUUUAAAACAAGACGUAUAACCGAACUACGUUCCGAGACAUUAUUCGUAAGCAAUGAUUUAUCAUUGCUUACAGAUAUAAAUUAAAUAACUUUAUGUAUUCUACAUUCCCAACUUCACACCAAUUAUAGUGGCACACCCAUGCUCAGUAUCAGUUCUUUUUUUAAAUUUCAAUCCGCCAUCAACUUAAUUUUAUUCCUGCAUCGGAAUUCGAAACGCGUGUUUAAUGUGUAUAUUGCAAAUAUAUACGAUACAACCAAUAAUAGUAAUAAUUAUUUUAUUGUUAUCUUUAAUCUUUAUCUACUAUACAAAUAUUGGAAGCAAGUUACAUA
Molecule: long non-coding RNA, 3722 nt
Filed under: Cinara cedri
Lineage: Eukaryota; Metazoa; Arthropoda; Insecta; Hemiptera; Aphididae
Source: RNAcentral